Molecule: ribosomal RNA, 1536 nt
Filed under: Klebsiella aerogenes
Lineage: Bacteria; Pseudomonadati; Pseudomonadota; Gammaproteobacteria; Enterobacterales; Enterobacteriaceae
Description: Bacterial small subunit ribosomal RNA
Rfam family: Bacterial small subunit ribosomal RNA
Source: RNAcentral
UUGAAGAGUUUGAUCAUGGCUCAGAUUGAACGCUGGCGGCAGGCCUAACACAUGCAAGUCGAGCGGUAGCACAGAGAGCUUGCUCUCGGGUGACGAGCGGCGGACGGGUGAGUAAUGUCUGGGAAACUGCCUGAUGGAGGGGGAUAACUACUGGAAACGGUAGCUAAUACCGCAUAACGUCGCAAGACCAAAGUGGGGGACCUUCGGGCCUCAUGCCAUCAGAUGUGCCCAGAUGGGAUUAGCUAGUAGGUGGGGUAAUGGCUCACCUAGGCGACGAUCCCUAGCUGGUCUGAGAGGAUGACCAGCCACACUGGAACUGAGACACGGUCCAGACUCCUACGGGAGGCAGCAGUGGGGAAUAUUGCACAAUGGGCGCAAGCCUGAUGCAGCCAUGCCGCGUGUAUGAAGAAGGCCUUCGGGUUGUAAAGUACUUUCAGCGAGGAGGAAGGCAUUAAGGUUAAUAACCUUGGUGAUUGACGUUACUCGCAGAAGAAGCACCGGCUAACUCCGUGCCAGCAGCCGCGGUAAUACGGAGGGUGCAAGCGUUAAUCGGAAUUACUGGGCGUAAAGCGCACGCAGGCGGUCUGUCAAGUCGGAUGUGAAAUCCCCGGGCUCAACCUGGGAACUGCAUUCGAAACUGGCAGGCUAGAGUCUUGUAGAGGGGGGUAGAAUUCCAGGUGUAGCGGUGAAAUGCGUAGAGAUCUGGAGGAAUACCGGUGGCGAAGGCGGCCCCCUGGACAAAGACUGACGCUCAGGUGCGAAAGCGUGGGGAGCAAACAGGAUUAGAUACCCUGGUAGUCCACGCCGUAAACGAUGUCGACUUGGAGGUUGUGCCCUUGAGGCGUGGCUUCCGGAGCUAACGCGUUAAGUCGACCGCCUGGGGAGUACGGCCGCAAGGUUAAAACUCAAAUGAAUUGACGGGGGCCCGCACAAGCGGUGGAGCAUGUGGUUUAAUUCGAUGCAACGCGAAGAACCUUACCUACUCUUGACAUCCAGAGAACUUAGCAGAGAUGCUUUGGUGCCUUCGGGAACUCUGAGACAGGUGCUGCAUGGCUGUCGUCAGCUCGUGUUGUGAAAUGUUGGGUUAAGUCCCGCAACGAGCGCAACCCUUAUCCUUUGUUGCCAGCGAUUCGGUCGGGAACUCAAAGGAGACUGCCAGUGAUAAACUGGAGGAAGGUGGGGAUGACGUCAAGUCAUCAUGGCCCUUACGAGUAGGGCUACACACGUGCUACAAUGGCAUAUACAAAGAGAAGCGACCUCGCGAGAGCAAGCGGACCUCAUAAAGUAUGUCGUAGUCCGGAUUGGAGUCUGCAACUCGACUCCAUGAAGUCGGAAUCGCUAGUAAUCGUAGAUCAGAAUGCUACGGUGAAUACGUUCCCGGGCCUUGUACACACCGCCCGUCACACCAUGGGAGUGGGUUGCAAAAGAAGUAGGUAGCUUAACCUUCGGGAGGGCGCUUACCACUUUGUGAUUCAUGACUGGGGUGAAGUCGUAACAAGGUAACCGUAGGGGAACCUGCGGUUGGAUCACCUCCUU